ACGGGAGGCAGCAGUGGGGAAUAUUGGGCAAUGGGCGAAAGCCUGACCCAGCAACGCCGCGUGAAGGAAGAAGAUCUUCGGAUUGUAAACUUCUUUUAUGAGGGACGAAGGACGUGACGGUACCUCAUGAAUAAGCCACGGCUAACUACGUGCCAGCAGCCGCGGUAAUACGUAGGUGGCGAGCGUUAUCCGGAUUUACUGGGUGUAAAGGGCGCGUAGGCGGGGUUGCAAGUCAGAUGUGAAAUCCCGGGGCUCAACCCCGGAACUGCAUUUGAAACUGUAGCCCUUGAGUAUCGGAGAGGCAAGCGGAAUUCCUAGUGUAGCGGUGAAAUGCGUAGAUAUUAGGAGGAACACCAGUGGCGAAGGCGGCUUGCUGGACGACAACUGACGCUGAGGCGCGAAAGCGUGGGGAGCAAACAGGAUUAGAUACCCUGGUA
Molecule: ribosomal RNA, 437 nt
Filed under: uncultured Oscillospiraceae bacterium
Lineage: Bacteria; Bacillati; Bacillota; Clostridia; Eubacteriales; Oscillospiraceae
Description: bacterial SSU rRNA
Rfam family: Bacterial small subunit ribosomal RNA
Source: RNAcentral